This 385-nucleotide ribosomal RNA is filed under the name uncultured bacterium. Its description in RNAcentral is "partial 16S ribosomal RNA". The record is from RNAcentral.
GCGUGGGAGACUGCUAGGUUGUAAUCUUAGGGUAGAAGUCUAGAAUAGCACCGGUAACUCUGCCACGCCCGUACAGGUGCAGCUUACCGGAUUUAUUGGGUUUACCGUAGGUAUAAGUCGGUGAAAGCCUUCCUACGAAAAUGCACUGAGCUGAGUAUGAGGUCUGGAAUAGGUGUACGGUAAAUGCAUAAUAUCUUAAACACCAUGCAAGGUCCAACGUGGGGAGCGAACAGGAUUAGAUACCCUGGUAGUCCACGCCGUAACGAUGAACUCGUUUUAGCAAGAAAGUGAUAAGUCACCUGGGGUCGCUCGCAAGAGAAAAAGGAUGACGGGCGCAAGCGGUGGAUGGGUUAAUUCAUCAGAACUCGCUAAAGUACGGUGAUGC